UGAUACUUACAGGGGCUUCCUCAGGCUUGAGGGGAAUAGAGUGAUCAUGGUCCCUCUUUGGUGGCAAGGACUUUGGCUGUGAAAACACCUUGGGAAAGUCCUGGAGUACUGAUCUGAUCUCUUCAGGUAAUUCUGCUGCCCCUUCUACUUCCUUUGCUGAAAUUGAAAACAAGUGUGCCCACAACACAUGCCCUUUCUUCAACAACUGCUUAACCCCAGAAGCAGUCAUGGCCUGUAGCUGCCCUUCUUCAGCACAUCCCUUCAAUUCCACUCUUUUC
RNAcentral lists this long non-coding RNA (278 nucleotides) under Nicotiana benthamiana. Its description in RNAcentral is "long non-coding RNA (NBEN_LNC033428)". The record is from RNAcentral. Lineage: Eukaryota; Viridiplantae; Streptophyta; Magnoliopsida; Solanales; Solanaceae.